Psammomys obesus (fat sand rat) is the source of this 471-nucleotide long non-coding RNA. RefSeq lists it as uncharacterized. The record is from RefSeq and is a predicted model, not a curated record. The transcript is spliced from 4 exons. Lineage: Eukaryota; Metazoa; Chordata; Mammalia; Rodentia; Muridae.
UCUAGGUAUCGCUAAAGAAAAGGGACCAGAUGAAUACCAAAUAUUCCCAACAUUAGGGAACAAAGCACACUGGGUCCUAAGGAAAAAGAUGGACUCAUCAGGAAGUAGAUUUGAGAGAAGAAUCGGUGGCUGAAAUAAGAUCUGUCUUCAAGGCCCAGAUGCAGGACUUUGUGCUGGCCAACCCCAACAUCUACACCAAAGAGCUGUUGGAGCAUGUAAACAGGCUGAUCCUGUACACCCAAAGCUGAAGGCUCUCCAUGACUAAGGACUCUACUUGGCUCAAUUCAACUAUCAAGCUACUGGCAACCUAAAAUCCAAGCCUAUAUUUAACUUCAGGUACCCUGAAAAAUCUAUCCAACACUGAAGACAUGAAGGAAAAAGAACACCAUGACGACAGCUCUCCCAGUUUGAGGAUGUGUCCCUCACACAAUGAUACAGGGCCCAUAACUGCUCCUCUUCUCAGUGACGAGG